This 254-nucleotide unclassified non-coding RNA is filed under the name uncultured fungus. RNAcentral describes it as "partial contains 5.8S ribosomal RNA, internal transcribed spacer 2, and large subunit ribosomal RNA". Lineage: Eukaryota; Fungi. The record is from RNAcentral.
AACGCACAUUGCGCCCGCCAGCAUUCUGGCGGGCAUGCCUGUUCGAGCGUCAUUUCAACCCUCAGGCCCUGCCUGGCGUUGGGGCGCCGCGGCGGCGAGAGCCCCGCGGGCCCUGAAAUACAGUGGCGAGCCCGCCUGGACUCCGAGCGUAGUAGCAACACUCGCUCAGGGCGUCCCGGCGCGCGUCGGCCGUAAAACACCCCAACUCACCAAAGGUUGACCUCGGAUCAGGUAGGAAUACCCGCUGAACUUAA